CGAAGGCCUUGCCAAAUAAAUGAUCUAGUUCAUUAAUUGAGAAAAUUCUCUCCCCUCUAACUAUAUCCUCCUUUAUCGUGACCAAAUUCUCCAGAAUAUCUGGAAGUAACAUCAAAUAGUUGAAAUAUAAGGGCCUAGACCAAAUCUAUUUCUUUUUUGUACAUCUUGUGUUUAAGUACAUUGCUUCGAAUUGAGGGGUCUGGUUUAUUAAAGACAAGCCUCUUAUACUGAAACCUUGUUUCCAUAGUAUAGUUAUGAAUCAGGAGGAUUUAUAUAUUGGUUUAUUAUGGUGUAAAGUUAAGGACCUACUUAUCGACAUGAUGAACACUCAUAAUGCUGCUCAAAUUAGUAAUCUCUUGCCAAGGUAUAAGAUAUAGAGCUCACAAGCGAAU
RNAcentral lists this long non-coding RNA (392 nucleotides) under Carica papaya (papaya). RNAcentral's name for it is "long non-coding RNA (CPAP_LNC007317)". The record is from RNAcentral. Lineage: Eukaryota; Viridiplantae; Streptophyta; Magnoliopsida; Brassicales; Caricaceae.